This 484-nucleotide ribosomal RNA is filed under the name uncultured bacterium. RNAcentral describes it as "partial 16S ribosomal RNA". It matches the Rfam family "Bacterial small subunit ribosomal RNA", at positions 30 to 507 of the family's 1533-position model. The record is from RNAcentral.
AUUGAACGCUGGCGGCAGGCCUAACACAUGCAAGUCGAGCGGAUGAAGGGAGCUUUCUCCUGGAUUCAGCGGCGGACGGGUGAGUAAUGCCUAGGAAUCUGCCUGGUAGUGGGGGAUAACGUCCGGAAACGGGCGCUAAUACCGCAUACGUUCUGAGGGAGAAAGUGGGGGAUCUUCGGACCUCACGCUAUCAGAUGAUCCUAGGUCGGAUUAGCUAGUUGGUGGGGUAAAGGCCUACCAAGGCGACGAUCCGUAACUGGUCUGAGAGGAUGAUCAGUCACACUGGAACUGAGACACGGUCCAGACUCCUACGGGAGGCAGCAGUGGGGAAUAUUGGACAAUGGGCGAAAGCCUGAUCCAGCCAUGCCGCGUGUGUGAAGAAGGUCUUCGGAUUGUAAAGCACUUUAAGUUGGGAGGAAGGGCAGUAAGUUAAUACCUUGCUGUUUUGACGUUACCAACAGAAUAAGCACCGGCUAACUUCGUG